Molecule: ribosomal RNA, 352 nt
Filed under: Galloisiana yuasai
Lineage: Eukaryota; Metazoa; Arthropoda; Insecta; Grylloblattodea; Grylloblattidae
Description: partial 12S ribosomal RNA
Source: RNAcentral
UAUUAUUUUAAAUGUGAAAAUUUAAGCUGGGGUAGUAGUAGAUAUUUUCUUGAAACUCAAAGAAUUUGGCGGUAUUUUAGUCUUUUCAGAGGAACCUGUUUCUUUAUCGAUAUACCACGUUUUAUCUGGCUUGAUUUUGUUUUCAGCUUGUAUACCGCCGUUAUCAGAAUGUUUUUUUAGAAUUUAAAUUUUCGAUGCUUUUUAUUGAAGGUGAUUUCAGGUCAAGGUGCAGCUUAUAAUUAAGUGAAAAUGGGUUACAAUAAAUAUAUUUAUACGGAUAAUCUUAUGAAGCAUGAGAUUUGAAGGUGGAUUUGAUAGUAAUGUGAUGUAUAAUAUUAAUUUGAUUUUAGCU